This is an RNA transcript of Aptenodytes forsteri (emperor penguin), 3736 nucleotides long. It is a transcript of the gene named centrosomal protein 85, with no coding region annotated. The record is from RefSeq and is a predicted model, not a curated record. The transcript is spliced from 13 exons. NCBI's taxonomy places the organism in Eukaryota, Metazoa, Chordata, Aves, Sphenisciformes, Spheniscidae.
GCCCGUCUGACAGGACGGGCUCACGUUGGGGUGCAUGCGCUGAACUCUAUCAUUUCCUGUGGCAAUAAGGCGAGAGCCAUUACCCUAGCCUCUAGAAAAAGCUCUUUUGCUGCAGCGUCCUGGAGGAGUUCGAAGGUCAACUGCUUGGUGAUCUGGUGUCCAGCUAUGUUUGAAGCUCAUCAUGGGCUUAGUGAAGGCUCCAGUUAGCUUUGGUUACGGUUCAGAGUCGCUGAGCUGUGGGACGGGCAGAACAGAAUCAAGGUCUCAGUGUUCAGCUGAACUUUUGCAAUUCCAGUAACGGUUCCUCAUUCCAGCCCAUCAAAACCCAAGUGACCAUCCCAACAGCCCAUGUUAUGCCUUCUACGCUGGGUGCCUCGCCCUCCAAGCUGUGCUCUGCAGGAGACCAGAGCUGUUCGCAGAGUACUUCAAAAACUGCUAUGCCGGGAUCUGCUUCUGAACACGCAGGGCUCGUGAGAAAUGGAGACUUUAAUGCCGGGAAGUCAUCUCAGGUGCCACCCAGGGAUCUCUUGCGUCUCUACAGGACUUCAGGGGAGGAAAAUGGUUUUGAGCAAUCCUGGCAUCCUGUUUCUGAUCACAUGAGAACGGAAGAUACUUGGAAGUUUGACACCCCUGCCAUUGAGCGCACCCUUAACCAGUCUCUCUUUCUGGAUAGUUUGUGCACUGACCCUCUCCACAGGUUCCAGAAGUUCAAUCCAAACUCUGGGGCAGCUGAGGCAGGAAAGGACCAUUAUAAGGUGCUGCCAGAGAGUAAGCAAGUGGCAGGGAGUAACGGAGCCUGUGAGCCCCAGGACGGAACGUGGCCGAGCGGGAGCAGACUGAUGCCAACGGGACUCCAGGCCAACAAUUUCUUUUCAAAACCUGUAACUCCUUCAUCUCGAGCAUGGAUGCAAGAAGCCUGCACGCUGCAUCCACACGAGAGGGUCUGCGAGCUUGGUGCUUGGAAACAACAGCUGGAGAAAGUGCGAUUGCAAAUAGAGCAAAUGCAGUUACAAAAUGGAGGCGCCUGCCACCAUCCCUCGAUGUAUUCUCCUUCGCUGCCUACACCUGAUCCAGCCCAGUGGAUCAAUAUCCUGAACUCCAAUGAAAACCUACUCAAGGAGAAAGAGCUUCUCAUUGACAGACAAAGACAACACAUAUCCCAGUUGGAGCAGAAGGUCCGUGAAAGUGAACUGCAGGUUCACAGUGCCCUGCUUGGCUGUCCAGCACCCUACGGAGAUGUCUACAUGUUGAGAAUGCAGGAGCUGCAGCGGGAGAACACGUUUCUUCGAGCACAGUUCACAGAGAAGACUGAAUCCCUCAGUAAGGAGAAGAUUGAACUGGAGAGAAAACUGGCUGCUGCAGAGGUGGAUGCAAAGCUGAUCCGGGAGUCGCUGAAGGAAACUAUGCAGAAACAUGCAGAGGAGUUAAAGAAACAGGAAGAAAGGGUAAAGGGAAGAGACAAACACAUUAAUAAUCUUAAAAAGAAAUGCCAGAAGGAAUCUGAACAAAACAGGGAGAGACAACAGAGAAUUGAGACCCUGGAACGAUACCUGGCUGAUCUACCAACCCUUGAGGACCACCAGAAACAGAGUCAGAAGCUGAAGGAAUCUGAACUGAAGAGUACUGCUAUGCAGGAAACAGUGCUGGCGCUGGAAACAGAGCUUGGAGAUGUCCGGGCUGCUUUCAGGGAGCAAGAGAUGCAGCUAGAAACCCAAAAACACAAAGAAAUGGAGCUUCUUUCCACUGUGCGCAGCCUGCAGGACAAGAUGCAGCAGUGUGUAAAGAAUGCAGAGCGAGGACCCCCUGCCCAGGAUGGGGAGAGACAGAAAAUAGAAAAUGACUCUCUGAAGAAAGAAUGCGACUGCCUCAGGAAGAUUGUGGACAAACAGCAGAAGAAGAUGGAGCAGUUGUCCUUGCAAGUAAAGAAUCUGGAAGAACAGGUGGCCCAGGAAGAGGGGACAAGCCAAGCUCUGAAAGAGGAGGCAAUGAGAAGAGAAAAUGCGCUGCAGCAGCUCCGGACCGCUGUGAAAGAGCUUUCAGUCCAGAACCAGGAUCUCAUUGAGAAGAACCUGACCCUUCAGGAACGACUCCGGCAGGCAGAGCUAACGACCCAGCCGCUGCCUGCCGAGACAGCCCGCCUCGCCCAGGAGUUGCACGGCGAGCUGGCCAGUUGUCUGCGGGAUUUGCAGUCUGUCUACAGCAUUGUCACUCAGAGGGCUCAGGGCAAGGAUCCCAACCUCUCUCUGCUCCUAGGCAUUCACUCUGUGCAGUACUCUGCUAAGGAGAAGGACGACUUGCUGAGCCCUGAUGGCCUUGCAAAGAAACUGGUGGAGGUAAAACAGCUUCACAAAGAGGUGGAGGACUUAAGGACGGCAAUAUCUGACAGAUAUGCUCAGGACAUGGGAGACAACUGCAUCACCCAGUAAAGAACACUCCCCAAAGUAAGGCAGGAAAUGAAGACUUGAAACCCUCAGGAGUCUAGAGCUCCUACAACCCAAAACCUAUUCAGCACUUUACCAUCCCUUCGCUCGGGUACAAGAUGGGUGACUUAUCCAAUCCGUGAGAAAUCAGGGGGUUUGUUGCCAGAAGUGUUUAGCUGCUGACUGGCUAACUGGAAUCGUUCAGGGCUUCGGUGUCGGGCUUUGCAGUAGCUUUGAUCUCGUGGAAUGCGUUUAUGUUGUGUUUGCUGGAGCUGGUGUAGUCUCUGCUGGGAGAUGAAUUCUGAAUUGCCUUCCAGGCAUGUCAAAUGCUGAACGUGCAAAUGUGAUGGUUAAAAUCAUCGCUAAAAGGAAAUGUAUGCCCUGGUCUUUCUGAUAAAUUCUCUGAGCAGAUCCUGUGUGACUAAUAAGACCAGAGGAUUAUCAGAGUGUUCAGGGGAUAUCUGUGGACUUCACAGGCAAGCAGGUGUGCCAGUUAUCCCACUGCUGAUUACAUCAAGGUGCUACAGGCUCCUCGGAUGCUGUGUGCACAGUUCUGGCUUCGAUGCUUGUGUAGCCAUUCGUGGAGCAGGACCUGCUUUCCUCAGGCUGCUGAUGCCAUGUACUGAGCUAAAUGUGGGCCAAGGCUAUUUCUUGAAGUCAUUUGUCCUGGCUGCUGGGAGGUCUCUAGGCGUUGGGGUACAGAGCAACACCAGCUGUGAAAGUUGCUCCCUCCCACAGGUUAGCAGGGUGCUGUUCAGCACCAUCCCCGUUCCCUCGCACGCUCCUGGGGUGCGAGCAGGAGAGCUGGUUCCCAGCAGGAGAGCUGGUUCCCAGGCGUCGUGCGGGGACACCUUUGCCCUCUGCCCCUGCAGAGCUGGCUGUGCAAAUGGGAUGGCGGCUGAAACCCCGUCUCGGCCGAUGCUUGGAGCCUCGCGCCUGGCCCUGUCCCAGCAGCUGGGCUGCCCAGGUGGGGAAGAGGAGUGCCCCCAUGUCAUCCUCCUGCAAAACGGGACCCGUCCGGCCAAGAUGGUGAUCCCAUGUGCCUGCCGCUCUCCACGCGGGAGAAAUCUUGGGCCUUUCUUUACAGAGCACCCCAGACAGGGGCGGCAGGACCACGUUCCCACCCCAUCCCGCGUUCUCUCCCUGUCCCCUUGGGCAGUGGGUGUCUGCCCGGUUCCCUGCGCUCUGCCCGGUGCUGUGUGUCGUGUGUGUGUGUGUGUGUGUGUGUCCCGCGUUGGGCGCAUUUACACCAGCCUUCGUCUCGCCCACUUGUUUGUACCGAGUAUUUUGAGUAUAAAAUAAAGCUGCUCUGCUCC